RNAcentral lists this long non-coding RNA (571 nucleotides) under Homo sapiens (human). Its description in RNAcentral is "HSALNT0347062". Lineage: Eukaryota; Metazoa; Chordata; Mammalia; Primates; Hominidae. The record is from RNAcentral.
CUUACCUGUUCUGAGAAGAAGGCUCUUGAUUUUCAAGGUCAAAUUCCCACACCUCUCUACCCCAUGUACUCCACGCUUAGAUAACAAUACAGUGCCUCUCUUUCUUUACCUCUUUCCCCACAAUUUCUUCCUUUUUCUUGAAUCCCAGCCCAUCCUUGAGGCCUGCCACCAAUUGGAAGAUCUUCAGUUCCACCUCUUUCCUGGACAUCUGACUGUAUUGCCCAUCAUUGUCUAUGCUCUGCCCACCGAGAAGAUGCAUCUGGAUCCCUGGUGUCACUUAUUGCUGAACUGUUUGAAUACCAAGUUAUACCGACCUGAAUCUCCCAAGUACCAACAGCAGCCUGGCUCGAAGCCAGAAGGAAUGACUGGAUAUCCCAAGUACCUGAUGGCCACAUAAACAUUUGAAGUAUCAAGCAUUAGAAGAAAGACCAGGAAGAAGACAAGGAUUCCCACUUUCAUCACUGCUAUUCAGCAUAGUACUGGAAGUCCUAGCCAGAAAAACUAUGCAAGCAAAAGAAAUAAAAAGCAUCCAUAUAGGAAAAGAAACAGUGAAAUUAUCUCUAUUUGCUGA